CUACGGGAGGCAGCAGUGGGGAAUCUUGCGCAAUGCGCGAAAGCGUGACGCAGCAACGCCGCGUGAGGGAAGACGGCCUUCGGGUUGUAAACCUCUUUCAGUUGGGACGAAGCCUCUGCGGUUAAUACCCGUAUGAGGUGACGGUACCUUCACAAGAAGCUCCGGCUAACUACGUGCCAGCAGCCGCGGUAAUACGUAGGGGGCAAGCGUUGUCCGGAAUCAUUGGGCGUAAAGCGCGUGUAGGCGGCUAGGUAAGUCUGCUCUGAAAGCCUGGGGCUCAACCCCAGGAGGCGGGUGGAUACUGUCUAGCUUGAGUUCGGAAGAGGCCAGUGGAAUUCCCGGUGUAGCGGUGGAAUGCGCAGAUAUCGGGAGGAACACCAAUCGCGAAGGCAGCUGGCUGGGACGUAACUGACGCUGAGACGCGAAAGCGUGGGGAGCAAACAGGAUUAGAAACCCGAGUAGUCC
This 465-nucleotide ribosomal RNA is filed under the name uncultured bacterium. RNAcentral describes it as "bacterial SSU rRNA". It matches the Rfam family "Bacterial small subunit ribosomal RNA", at positions 339 to 796 of the family's 1533-position model. The record is from RNAcentral.